Molecule: ribosomal RNA, 528 nt
Filed under: Triticum aestivum (bread wheat)
Lineage: Eukaryota; Viridiplantae; Streptophyta; Magnoliopsida; Poales; Poaceae
Description: partial small subunit ribosomal RNA
Source: RNAcentral
AUGGACGGCAAAACGCCUCAUCGGCUGCCUCCGAGCGAGGCCAACAAGGAGAUCCGGGAUGACGUCCCACUGGUCUGCGCAUGGGCGCUCAUCAACGCCUUCAGCAUCGUCGUCGGAGCAGCAAGCGGCUGCGUAGCCGCCUACCUCCAUGUCUCGUGCAGCCAGUCCUCCUUCAUUCUGCCGUGCAUCGAGCUGACGGACGCGGAGAAAACCAGGCUAAUCGCCCUCUUCAUCGGGAUGUUGUGCUGCGCCGCGUCCCAGGCGGCCGCGGCCGCGCCGGCGCUGCUGCUCCCACGCCGUCGUCGCUGGGCCCGCCGUGCCCUCGCCUACCUCGCGCUCGCGGUCACCAUCCUCUUCCAUUGCAUGUACGCCAGUUUAGUCUGGAUCCUCCUCGCCGCCGACCCAGGACACAUGUCCGGCAGGAUCUACUACACCGUGAUCAUCUGCUUCAUGGUGGUGUGCGACCUCCUGAGCUGCGUGGCCCUCCUCCUGGAGGUGAUGAGGCGGCGCAAGCAGUGCGUAGCCUAG